Long non-coding RNA from Alosa sapidissima (American shad), 1569 nucleotides. RefSeq lists it as uncharacterized. The record is from RefSeq and is a predicted model, not a curated record. The transcript is spliced from 2 exons. NCBI's taxonomy places the organism in Eukaryota, Metazoa, Chordata, Actinopteri, Clupeiformes, Clupeidae.
GGGAUCCUGGAUACGAAGCUGCUCCCUCACUGCAGCCUGACUGAGAGCCUGGCCUUGCCCACAAACUCUGCUCCAGCACUGGUGCUGAUGCUGCUGCAACACUUUCAUGCACUGCAGUGUUUGUUACUGACAGGGUUUAAUUGGUUAUUGUAGAGAAAGCACACGGUCUUUGUUGUGCACAUUUGUCUGCGUUUCUCUGCUGCCUGUCCAGCUGUCUUUUACUUUGUCUGCUUGUUUUCCUGAGAGAUUUCUUCCAUUAAGGGUACUUAAUUGUCCCUGGUGGGGCUGUUAGUGCCCAGCCCUCCUGAGAUACAAACUCUGAGAUAUACGGUCUUAAUAACUGGCUUGUGGUCACUUCUAAGAAAUUAAUUGAUACAAUGUUCAUAGUCCUGUGAAGACACCAAUCUUAAAAACAAGUGUAACCCGUGAGUGAUGUGGUUUACGUCACUCACUGGUCAAGUUGUUGUAACCUUAAAAUCUUAUUUACUUCCGGGGUGCCCGUGUUUACAUUUUGGCCUAGCAAGACCUAAGCUUCCUGCUACACACACCUGACGACACUUACACUGAUUAGAGUAAUUGCAGCCACACAGAAUAAAACCAGGAAGCAGCCAUAACAGGGCUGCGUGUUCUGCCUUUCCACUUUACUCCGAGCUGUGGGGAUUUAAUGGAGAUCCCGGAAAGUUGCGGGUAUCCUCUGUGGUGUCCAGCUUCUGCGUGAGCGUUCACGGACAUUGAUAACAACUUGCUGUUAUUCCGAGAGGGGCUACAUAUGUGCGUGUGCUGUGCGGAUGUUAAAUGUAGGUACUGUACGGAAAUGCAAGUAUGGCGAACUGGUUCUUCAGUGGCACGCACUAUACAUGAUUAACAUUUUGAUUCUGAUGUAUUGUGGCUGUGCUGUACUAAUCUGUUUGGCAGUGUGUUUCAGGAGUUGCCAUUGCUGUUUUGCCUGUUUCUGUUUGUUUAGUUCUAUUUUUAUUUUGUUUCUUUGUCAGUUAUGGCGUCUUUACCUGUGACACUGUAGGCAAUGACUGGGCAAUGAUUAGGCCUGCUGUUUCUCUGCAUAGGAUUCCCUCAGCACUUAGCUUGGGUACUGGCGGUCCAAAUUCUUGGUUGCAUUAGGCUAGAGUGUCAUCUCUCUUUUCCAUCUUUUUUUGUGUUAACAGAGCCUGUGAACGUGGUACUGGUGUUGGGAUGCUGGGUUGUUCCUUUUCCUGCAUUGCAUGAGGUGAACUACUGUAGGUGUAGAGCUAAUGAGCACCCCUAUUCUAUUUGGUAGUUUGUGUGUGUGUGUGUGUGUGUGUGUGUGUGUGUGUGUGUGUUACACAUUUUCAGAUAUUGGAGCACGUGGCGUGGUUGCUGUGUUGAACUUCCCCUACUCUCCCUGCAUCCAGGUAACCACUCUGCCAGUACCUCCGCCUGUACUAUUGCUUGCUGCUUAUUGUUGUGAGGCCUUGUUUUUAUCUUUUCAUACUGUAAUAAAGUGAUUGCUAUUGAUGAAUUUAUCUUGCUGAAGUGUUUUAAUAUAAUCCUGGUUUUCUAAAUAAACAUUGCCCAGUCACUGGAAUAUCA